AUGGCUGCAGUUUAAAAAAAUAAUAACAAAAAGUCUGCAUUGAUUUUGAGAUGUUGUCUGCAACAAAUAUACAUUAAGUAUACUUAACUGAAUUAGAUACCUUGACUUAGACCAUCAGUGCUCACAUCAAGUCCAUUCAGGUUAAUUGGAAGAUGAUCUCGGACUGAAAAGAACUUGGUAUCACUGGCUUGAACCUUAUCAUUUAGAACAGUACACGGUGACUGAGAGAUGUGCUUCCUGCUGUGUUACUGACAGAUUGCGGCCCUGUGACAUCGCCACAGUUGCACUUCACGGUUUGCUGCCGAAACACAGGGCCAGUGUGGAAGGAUAUUACUACCAGAAACCUUCAAAGGCUUUUGUUGAGCUGACAAAGCAGACAUGUUGGUAAUUGAGGCAGACCUGGCACUGAAAGGUCAAUUCACCACUGGGAUGAAAUGUACACAGACCUUCCAAAUAGGCAACUCAAAAUAAAGGUGGCAGACAGGAGAGUUAUUGACAUCACAGAUGCAGAGAGGUGUGCAGUUAUCCCACAAGGGCUCCAGGGAGCAAUCGAUGCUAGCGAAGAAGUACAGUCUGCCCAGGGCCUUCGUCCAGGUGUACUCUGGUAGGGGAGUCUUAGGCUAAUGAACAUGGGAUUUUCUUCUGUAUAUAUAAUGUAUAAUAAAUAAUUAUAACACUGUGUAUGCUACUAUUGGAAGUGUAGUAAUUGUAGAGCAAUACUCCUUGUGUAUUUCUAAGCCCCUGUAGUAACUGGCUGGGCACACUUCCUGCAUAUUGUACAAUUUUAUGGAUUCAUUUAGGGAUAUAUGCAUUAAAAGGACGUGAUGUAUUUUAGGAUAUGGAACAAAAUGUUUGAAAUAAUGUUAAGGAACGAUUUCUUCUUCAGAAUUCCAUUCUGUGCAGUACUGUACUAUUUGUUUAAUUCGGUAUAAACCAUGUUGAGAACAGCGCUUUUAGAUUGUCUUUGUAAGUUAUGAUCGUGACUUCUUCGUGUAUUCAUUUGCAUAUCUGUAUGUCACGGCAGUUCUACUUUUGUAAUCUCUUGGAGCUAGAUAAACACGAAUAACUUAUACAUUGCAGGCAAUCAAAGCCAGUCCAGCAGGUAUUUUUGCUCUGGUCCAUGCCCACAAAGUUUGCUGACAAAAUAAUAACAGUACACUUCACUGUGGAUAUCUUUACUAAAGCCCACUAACUGUUGCCAAGGUCACCUACUGCCUGCAGCAGAGGGGAUUCAUGUUUGAGUAGUACUGUUUAAAUAAGGGAUCAAUAUAAUGGACAUGAAUGGAAAGUUGUACUGUUGAGAUAUGGGUCUAUAUUUCCAAGUAGCAGGCACUGGGACACUGAUCGUCAACAUUUAUUUUGCAGCAUCAUUUCAGUUUAGAAACGUGGAGAUUACAAAAGGGUUCAUUCGCAAAGACUCCGAUCAGAUGCUAGCCAGCUGGUGCUAUCGACUUGCAGCUAUGUUGGCUCUUCCCACUCACAAGUUGCUCCAGUGAUCAAGUGUUCUGGCUAGCUGCUGGUGUCGUGGCGGUUUUCAUGAGAGGCGAUCCCAUUGCACU
Molecule: long non-coding RNA, 1559 nt
Organism: Acipenser ruthenus (sterlet)
Lineage: Eukaryota; Metazoa; Chordata; Actinopteri; Acipenseriformes; Acipenseridae
Exons: 3
Source: RefSeq, a predicted model, not a curated record